This 5495-nucleotide long non-coding RNA is filed under the name Haliotis rufescens (red abalone). Its description in RNAcentral is "uncharacterized LOC125377947". Lineage: Eukaryota; Metazoa; Mollusca; Gastropoda; Lepetellida; Haliotidae. The record is from RNAcentral.
UAACAAUCAAAAUAAUACUGCAAAUAAAUAUAUUUGUCACAGUUCAUGUCAAUUCUAACACUGCUUUGAAAAUGACAUAAAAAAUAAAUAUCACAUAGUAGCUUGGCCACUUUUCUGUCAGAAGAACUUGAAAGUAGCACCACUGAGAUAUUCACCAUCUUCCAAAAAACACAUAAUCAAAAUAAUACUGAAAAUAAAGAUGUCACUGUUCAUGUCAAUUCUAACACUGCUUUGCAAAGUAUAAUUUAAAAUAUACAUCAGAGACUCAUUAUGAACCAUUUGAUCAAGAAAAUAAUUACUGGGAUGAGAUCCACUCGGGUAAAAAAGAUCAGCAAACAAUAUGCAUCCAUCUGCUUUGAUAAAUCAGUACUGAUAAGAAGUUACUAUCCGAGCAAUUGUCAUAACUUUCACUUUCAUUUUGACGUGAAUGUAUCUGAUUCCCAAGCUCCAACAACAUAAGAAAAGUUGUUGUACUAAGUUCAAUCGACAUGUCAUCUUUCGAAGUUUCCUGAGUUGAUGCAUGUGCCGACAUUACUUGCUCCUGUUUAACUACUAAGAUUAAACCUCCCUAACGCAGUUGUUCGUAUCCUGAAUGUUAAUUAGAUGUUUUCGAAUGUUUGCAAGGGAAUGCAGGCAAAUGCAGAAUGCCUCUGGCAUACUUUAUGAACAUAUUCUGUGCUCAAAAGACCGCCAUUUGUGAUGAUAAAGCCCCUUGUAACAAUAAAAAUUCUACCACUUACAACACAGACAAUUGUCAAGAGAGGGUAUUCAUGUUCGGCUUCGAGAUCAACAAAGAUCGAUUAUGUAUCUUUUUACUAGUUUACAACGGUAAAAUCAUAUGUUUUUUAUUAAAAGGUGAUGAUAACAAAUAAAAUAACUGACUACGUGGCUAUUGACGGGGGGAAAAAAUGGAAAUCUGAUUUAAUUUUAUUUUUACAUUUUCUCAAAAAUUAGUCGGAAAAUAUAAAAUGCCUGGCCUUAUCAUAACCUAUAACAAUAAUAACUAACAAUACUAUAAUAAUACUGAUAAUGUACAAUGAUAUAACAAGAAAAGUAUUCUGUGGACGUAUGUUUUGAGUCUUGUAGGGUGGAACUGAAAGAUUGUUUUCUCUUGGAGUUGACAAACUGGUGCAUAUCAUGAAAGACACACAUUGUCACUGUUAACGUCUUCCUUUACUGUCUGAACAGUUACUACCGCUGACCACCAUGUGAUACCAGCAGAUCCACCACUCGCUGAUUUCCCCUGAGUCUUGCCCAGUCGGCCGCUGUUUGCCCCUAGUUGUUCCUGGACUUAUUUCCUUUGUGAGUAUCAACUCAUGACACAAUCAAUUAUUAGUAAACAGAAUUGAUUGUCUACUGUAAAUAUGAGUGAUAUGACAUGGUUGCCAGGAGUUCCACCACUCGUGGAUUUCCCCUGGAUCUUGCCCAGUCGGCCGCCUUUUGCCCCUCGUUGUUCCUGGACUUAUGUCCUUCGUGGGUAUCAACUCAUGACACAAUCAAUUAUUAGUAAACAGAAUUGAUUGUCUACUGUAAAUAUGAGUCAUAUGACAUGGUUGCCAGGAGUUCCACCACUCGUGGAUUUCCCCUGGAUCUUGCCCAGUCGGCCGCCUUUUGCCCCUCGUUGUUCCUGGACUUAUGUCCUUCGUGGGUAUCAACUCAUGACACAAUCAAUUAUUUGUAAACAGAAUUGAUUGUCUACUGUAAAUAUGAGUGAUAUGACAUGGUUGCCAGGAGUUCCACCACUCGUGGAUUUCCCCUGAUCUUGCCCAGUCCGCCGCUGUUUUCCCCUCGUUGUUCCUUGACUUAUUUCCUUUGUGGGUAUCAACUCAUGACACAAUCAAUUAUUAGUAAACAGAAUUGAUUGUCUACUGUAAAUAUGAGUGACAUGACAUGGUUGCCAGGAGUUCCACCACUCGCUGAUUUCCCCUGGAUCUUGCCCAGUCGGCCAAUCAAUUAUUAGUAAACAGAUUUGAUUGUCUACUGUAAAUAUGAGUGAUAUGACAUGGUUGCCAGGAGUUCCACCACUCGUGGAUUUCCCCUGAGUCUUGCCCAGUCGGCCGCCUUUUGCCCCUUGUUGUUCCUGGACUUAUGUCCUUCGUGAGUAUCAACUCAUGACACAAUCAAUUAUUAGUAAACAGAAUUGAUUGUCUACUGUAAAUAUGAUUGAUAUGACAUGGUUGCCAGGAGUUCCACCACUCGUGGAUUUCCCCUGAGUCUUGCCCAGUCGGCCGCCUUUUGCCCCUUGUUGUUCCUGGACUUAUGUCCUUCGUGAGUAUCAACUCAUGACACAAUCAAUUAUUAGUAAACAGAAUUGAUUGUCUACUGUAAAUAUGAGUGAUAUGACAUGGUUGCCAGGAGUUCCACCACUCGUGGAUUUCCCCUGAGUCUUGCCCAGUCGGCCGCCUUUUGCCCCUUGUUGUUCCUGGACUUAUGUCCUUCGUGAGUAUCAACUCAUGACACAAUCAAUUAUUAGUAAACAGAAUUGAUUGUCUACUGUAAAUAUGAUUGAUAUGACAUGGUUGCCAGGAGUUCCACCACUCGUGGAUUUCCCCUGGAUCUUGCCCAGUCGGCCGCCUUUUGCCCCUCGUUGUUCCUGGACUUAUGUCCUUCGUGGGUAUCAACUCAUGACACAAUCAAUUAUUAGUAAACAGAAUUGAUUGUCUACUGUAAAUAUGAGUGAUAUGACACGGAUGCCAGGAGCUCCGGCACUCGCUGAUUUCCCCUGAGUCUUGCCCAGUCCGCCGCUGUUUUCCCCUCGUUGUUCCUUGACUUAUUUCCUUUGUGGGUAUCAACUCAUGACACAAUCAAUUAUUAGUAAACAGAAUUGAUUGUCUACUGUAAAUAUGAUUGAUAUGACAUGGUUGCCAGGAGUUCCACCACUCGCUGAUUUCCCCUGGGUCUUGUCCAGUCGGCCGCUGUUUUCCCCUCGUUGUUCCUGGACCUGACUUCACUAUCUCCACAUGUCCUCCUACACAGGCCUAGGGAAGGGUCACAGGUCACCGUCGUCGUUUUCUUACCAUGUUUCUCUACAUCCAGUUCUUUGUCCCUGGUAAGUAUAGAUUCUUCAUGGUCCAUAGUGACAAACAAACUGAUAAAAAAAAGCUUCUACCACUGUUGCAGCCGUGUGAUAGGAAUAUAGAUCAGGAUUUCGAAAGUCACGUGGUGCAUCAAACAGUUGCCACAUUAUUUCUCUUCUAUGGAUUUUUUGCUUUUCCUGAGUUCAUGUUUCUCCCAAGUCUGACCGCUGACCACCAUGUGAUUCCAGCAGAUCCACCACUCGCUGAUUUCCCCUGAAUCUUGCCCAGUCUUGCCGCUGUUUGCCACUGCUUAUUCCUGGACUUGAUGUCCUUAAUUCCGUAUGAAGACAAACUUUACCUUCUCCAAGUGUCCUCCUAUACAGACGUAGUGAAUUGUCACAGGUCACCGUCGUCGGUUCUCCCAAUGUUUCUCUACAUCCAGUGCUUUGUCCCUGGUCAGUAUGUAUUCUUCUUGGCCCAUAGUGACAAACAAACUGAUAAAAAAAAAGAAACUUCUGCCGCUGUUGCUCUUGUAUGGAUUUUUUGCUGUUCCUGAGUUCAUGUUUCUUCCAAGUCUGUCACACAAUCUCAUUCAAAUAAUUUUUUAGUUCUGGCUCCCGCUAAACAAAGGUCUGAGCGCAUCCCAUUAUGGGUCACGUCAGAAUGACCUUUUUUCCAACCAAUCAGGAAAGUGAGAGUUGGAAUGUGUUUUCUAAUCACUCAACAUUGACAAGGUUAACAUUGGAUGUUCCAAGUCCUGCCUGAAUCAUCGUCUGUCUCUCGCUUCAGUGAGAUAAACAUUUGAAACAGAAAAGACUUUCCAUAACCCGUGGAAAGUACUGUGGGUACAAUCGCGGACAGUUAUUAGACAUUUUCAGAAUUAUCUUUGAUCACUUUUUAAAUUUUGACAAAUAUUUUUCAAAGCAUAAUCUGGGAUGGAAGUGACGUAAAGCUCGAGAAAGCAGCUUUUGAUUGGCACACACCCCAUCACUGUCAGUAACAACGUCCUCCUUUAAUGUCUGAACAGAUUCUACAGCUGACCACCAUGGGAUUCCAGCAGAUCCGCCAGUUGCUGAUUUCCACUGAAUCUUGCCCGGUCGGCCGCUGUUUGUUCCUGAACUUGAUGUCCACAAUUCUGUAUGAAGACAAACUUUACCUUCUCCAAGUCUCCGCCCAUACAGACGUAGUGAAUUGUCACAGGUCACCGUCGUCGGUUCUCCCAAUGUUUCUCUACAUCCAGUGCUUUGUCCCUGGCCAGUAUGUAUUCUUCUUGGCCCAUAGUGACAAACAAACUGAUAAAAAAAAAAGAAACUUCUGCCUCUGUUGCUCUUGUAUGGACUUUUUGCUGUCCAUACAAUACUGAUAAAAAAAAAGCAGCAAAAAAACAACCUUCUGCCACUGUUGCAAUCAUGUGAUCAGGAAUACGGAUCUGGGAGCUGUUGUACAAAGCGAUCUUAGCCCCACGGUGAUCGUAACUUCCAUACCUUAACAUAGACUUACAACAGUCGUAGUGCUAAGGUUUUGUACAACUGCACCCAGGAAUUCAAAAGUCAAGUGGUGCAUCAAACUGGACUUGCGAACAGUUGCCACAUUAUUGCUCUUUUAUGGAUUUUGCUUUUCCUGAGUUUUCGUUUCUCCCAAGUGUGCCCCCUGUCACACAAUAUCAUUGUAUUACAUUUUUAAUUCCUGUUUCAGCUAAUCAAAGGUCUGAGAACAUCCCAUAUGGGUCAUGUCAGAAUGACCCUAUAAUCCAACCAACCUGGAAAGUGACAGUUGAAAUGUGUUUUCUAAUCAUGCAACAUUGACAGGGUUAACACUGGGUAUUCCAAAUGACAGUUAAAGGCUGUACAACUGAUUCCACCUUAAUCAUCAUCUACCUCUCGCUUCAAUGGGAUAAUCCUCCCACAUUAAGCUGACACACUGCAAUAUGACUCGAAUACUAUUAAAAGUGGCGUUAAACCAAACUCACUCACUCAAUAGGAUAAACAAUAGAAACAGAAGAGACUUUUCCUUGCCUGUAGAAAGUACUGACAUACAUUUAUUGGACAUUCCAGAGAUUUCUUUUGAUCACUUUUCUCGAGAAAGUUGCUUUUGAUUGGCUAAUGUAGACUUCUUGUUAGUCAUUUCAUUGAUUUCUGACCCUGUCCCUAUCAAUAACACCCUCCUUCUUUAAUGUCUGAACAGACACUAUCGCUGACUACCAUGGGAUUCCAGCAGAUCCACCACUCGCUGAUUUCCACUGAAUCUUGCCCAGUCGGCCGCUGUUUGCCCCUUGUUGUUCCUGGACUUGAUGUCCUUAAUCCCGUAUGAAGACAAACUUUACCUUCUCCACAUCUCCUCCCAAACAGACGUAGUGAAUUGUCACAGGUCACUGUCGUCGGUUCUCCCAAUGUUUCUCUACAUCCAGUGCUUUGUCCCUGGUCAGUAUGUAUUCUUCUUGGCCCAUAGUGACAAACAGACUGAUAAAAAAAUAGAAGC